UUUAGAUUGUACCGAGCCUCCAUGGCUAGAUGAAAACGUCCUCCUCCGUUUUCUUCCGUGAAAACGCCCCCUGCGCAUCACACCAUCUCCUGGCAGCCACGUCACGGGACGAUGCGAGGAGGGGACGUGAGGACGUUAUGUGACGUGAGGUGGAGUCAGCGGCGUGUGGUAAACAUUACAGCCGCUUUGCAACACUUCCUGCUACGGCCCGCCACUCUGCAACGCUUCCUGGCGCUACUCAGCACUGUGUGAAGCUCUGGAUUGACCACCGAAGCUCUCUAAUGAUGGGUGAAGGCAGAGAGAGAUGAAAACAAGUGAAAGAAAAAAGGCAAUGAGAGAGAGAAUAAAGGGAAAAGAGAAAAUAGGAGAGACACAAGAAAGCGGGCAGUAGGAAAAAAAUCCAGAGAAAGAACGUAGAAGGACGAAUAGAGAGCUGCUUGUUUUUCAACGUUGAGUAUGUAACGUGAGCCUGGAUGGAAGAGGAGUAGGCUCCUAAUGGCAGGGAAAAUACAGAAACUUCCAGGCAAGGUAUACGAGGGGUUAAGGCAACAUCAAACUGAGGUCACAAAUCAGAA
Long non-coding RNA from Spea bombifrons (plains spadefoot toad), 575 nucleotides. RefSeq lists it as uncharacterized. The transcript is spliced from 2 exons. NCBI's taxonomy places the organism in Eukaryota, Metazoa, Chordata, Amphibia, Anura, Pelobatidae. The record is from RefSeq and is a predicted model, not a curated record.